GACGAACGCUGGCGGCGUGCUUAACACAUGCAAGUCGAACGGAAAGGCCCUGCUUUUGUGGGGUGCUCGAGUGGCGAACGGGUGAGUAACACGUGAGUAACCUGCCCUUGACUUUGGGAUAACUUCAGGAAACUGGGGCUAAUACCGGAUAGGAGCUCCUGCUGCAUGGUGGGGGUUGGAAAGUUUCGGCGGUUGGGGAUGGACUCGCGGCUUAUCAGCUUGUUGGUGGGGUAGUGGCUUACCAAGGCUUUGACGGGUAGCCGGCCUGAGAGGGUGACCGGCCACAUUGGGACUGAGAUACGGCCCAGACGCCUACGGGAGGCAGCAGUGGGGAAUAUUGCGCAAUGGGCGGAAGCCUGAUGCAGCAACGCCGCGUGCGGAAUGACGGCCUUCGGGUUAUAAACCGAUUUCGCCUGUGACGAAGCGUGAGUGACGGUAAUGGGUAAAGAAGCACCGGCUAACUACGUG
Molecule: ribosomal RNA, 468 nt
Filed under: uncultured bacterium
Lineage: Bacteria
Description: partial 16S ribosomal RNA
Rfam family: Bacterial small subunit ribosomal RNA
Source: RNAcentral